GGGAGUCGCGGGACUGGCUGCUGCUGAGACAGAAACUUAACUUAAUGGAUAAUAAGAGUAAAAAAACGCCCGGGUGGCGCUGAGAAGCAUCGGGAAAAAAAGCAGAAGUCUCUGGAGGUGGAGGCUGCUAAAUGUGCCAAACUGACGGACCUAUGUGGUGCCGGGUUCACCAGCCCAGCAGCAGCAGGUGCGCCGGGAGACGAGCGAGGAGGACUCGACAAUGAUGAGCGAGUGGAGGCAGACAUCCUGGUCCCUGUUUCCUGCUCACCUCCUGAAAACUCCCUCCACUCCAGUGAUGCCCAUCCCGUCCACGAUGUCUCUGGUGAGUCUGAAGGGGACGGUCUCUGGUGUGGGGAGGAUCUUCCCCUGCUCAAAGGCCACACCUGCACGUAGCAAGCACGACAUGUAUCAAUAUACUCACAGAAUGAUGAUCAGCUGUUUAAAUCCAAUAUGAACUUUGAUCUCCUGAUGUAGAACAGCUCUCCUGUGAGGCCUGUGUUGCUUGAUCACAGACACAUUCAGCCACUGUUUACACAGCAUUGACUUUGUCAAACCAAAGGUCGAGUAUUUUCUGUUUAUAUAAAUGAGAGAAAAUAACCUAAAUCGAUGUGAACCAGUUCAGCCGUCUGCUCGUCGAUCAGGAUGUUGUUGUUGUGUCUGUCGCCCAGACCCACAAAGUAGCCAACUGCAGGAGCAACAGAGAGAAGUCGUUCAAAACUGGAGAUAUACACAAUUUCAAGCCCCUAUGAUGAAUAUUCAUAAUUUUUUUUUGCUUACCAGCAUAAUUUACACCUCUUUUGCACCAAAAUUAGCAAAAUAAAGGUUUAUUUAAACUUGCUUAAAAAAGGAUAUUUACUCCUUUCCCAUUGCCUGUAGAGGUCUUUGCCUUCGUGUUUUUUCCCUAGGGUAUCGAGUUUGAUGUCAUGAAUGCAGCGAAAACUGAGGCACUCUCUCACUUCACUGUCUUUUAGAAUAAGCUUGUUCACCCGCGUUUCUCGUUUCCAUCACUGCUGACUGAGGCCAGAGCCGAUAAAAACCUGUGUCUACCGCAAUGUAAUCCUACCUGAGUGUAAAUGCAGAUUCUAUUCCCAUAGCAGAAUUAAGCCAGAUGUUUUUUUGACCAAUGGAAAAUGGGUCUUAAGUCAUAAGUUAUGGUCAAAUUUGUUAUGGUUUUAAAUUCAGUGUAAGUUAUGAUAACUUACACUGAAUUUAAAACCAUAACAAAUUUUCCAUUUGUCUGUACUAUGUUUGAGAACAUGGCUUAAGAAACAGCCUGGUGCAAAAUGAAGUUUAAAUUUCCGACUUACGGGAGAAAAAAUGCUUAUUCCAGUCAAAUCAUAUCAGACUUCAUUUAUAUGGUGCUUUUUGUGCAACGUUGCAAUACAAGGUGAUUAACAUAUUGUUCUUAUUGUCUGACUCAGCAGACCUGCCUCCACAUUUCUACUGCUUCAACAAACAUCCUUCCUCAGGCUGUGAAACCCAAGAUUUCAUUUCAACCCAAUCAUAUCAGGAUAGGACUGACACACUGUGAUAUGCAUUUGCGUGUAACAUAUUGCAUUCACAGCACAUGCACGGAGGUGAGCACAUUGUACCUAUAGAGGAGGUCGCCACGCUGCGGGUGUAAGCCAGACGUUUCUCCAUCCAAUCCGCUGGAUCCAGGAAUCGUUCCAUGCAGAAAUACCUGAAGACCGGCCUGAAGUUCUUGCACACCUCAGUGUAGGCCUGGAGCUUGUCAUCGAAUCCGAGUCUCUGAGCAGCCUGCGGGGCCACGACAGUAUUUUUAGUUUUGCUUUCAAUCAUAAAAAUGUUUCACUUCACAUUUUGCAGAUGUACAGACACCUGUGGUUUCCUAGAAACUAAUUCAGUAAGUAACAUUGAAUUAAAUAUCACUGAGUCAGUACCGACAUCCUCUCGCGGCACUUUAAGUUUGUCAAGUCUUGGGGUCGGAAGCGUUUGUGGGCUCCUUUAUUAGGAUCCACCAGAAACUCCGCGAUGGGAACUGUGCCUGAGCACCACUCUAACACGCCACUGCACUGCGAGAACGGCACCACCUGAGAAUUCAGUACAAAUGGAAUUCAAUUUAAUAUUAACAUUGCAAUAUUAAUAUGCAUUAGAUUCUGGUUUAUUCUUCUCUUUGAAUGUCAAAUAAAGGUUUAAAGUGGAACCUUG
This is a long non-coding RNA of Limanda limanda (common dab), 2169 nucleotides long. RefSeq lists it as uncharacterized. NCBI's taxonomy places the organism in Eukaryota, Metazoa, Chordata, Actinopteri, Pleuronectiformes, Pleuronectidae. The record is from RefSeq and is a predicted model, not a curated record. The transcript has 2 exons.